This 253-nucleotide ribosomal RNA is filed under the name uncultured bacterium. RNAcentral describes it as "partial 16S ribosomal RNA". It matches the Rfam family "Bacterial small subunit ribosomal RNA", at positions 524 to 776 of the family's 1533-position model. The record is from RNAcentral.
UACGGAGGGGGCUAGCGUUGUUCGGAAUUACUGGGCGUAAAGCGUAUGUAGGCGGCUAAGCAAGUCAGGCGUGCAAGCCCGUGGCUCAACCACGGAAUUGCGUUUGAAACUGUUUGGCUUGAGUACAGGAGAGGAAAGCGGAAUUCCCAGUGUAGCGGUGAAAUGCAUUGAUAUUGGGAAGAACAUCUGUGGCGAAGGCGGCUUUCUGGUCUGUUACUGACGCUGAGAUACGAAAGCCAGGGGAGCGAACGGG